This 460-nucleotide ribosomal RNA is filed under the name uncultured bacterium. RNAcentral describes it as "partial 16S ribosomal RNA". It matches the Rfam family "Bacterial small subunit ribosomal RNA", at positions 338 to 795 of the family's 1533-position model. The record is from RNAcentral.
CCUACGGGUGGCAGCAGUGAGGAAUAUUGGUCAAUGGGCGCGAGCCUGAACCAGCCAAGUAGCGUGAAGGAUGACUGCUCUACGGGUUGUAAACUUCUUUUAUAAAGGAAUAAAGUGAGGCACGUGUGCCUUUUUGUAUGUACUUUAUGAAUAAGGAUCGGGUGACUCCGUGCCGGCAGCAGCGGUAAUCCGGAGGAUCCGAGCGUUAUCCGGGUUUAUUGGGUUUAAAGGGAGCGUAGAUGGGUUGUUAAGUCAGUUGUGAAAGUUUGCGGCUCAACCGUAAAAUUGCAAUUGAUACUGGCAGCCUUGAGUACAGUUGAGGUAGGCGGAAUUCGUGGUGUAGCGGUGAAAUGCGUAGAUAUUACGAAGAACUCCGAUUGCGAAGGCAGCUUACUAAACUGCCACUGACAUUGAUGCUCGAAAGUGUGGGUAUCAAACAGGAUUAGAUACCCCGGUAGUC